Molecule: ribosomal RNA, 326 nt
Filed under: uncultured bacterium
Lineage: Bacteria
Description: partial 16S ribosomal RNA
Rfam family: Bacterial small subunit ribosomal RNA
Source: RNAcentral
UAGGGAAUCUUCCACAAUGGACGCAAGUCUGAUGGAGCAACGGCCGCGUGAGUGAAGAAGGUUUUCGGACCGUAAAGCUCUGUUGUUGGUGAAGAAGGAUAGAGGUAGUAACUGGCCUUUAUUUGACGGUAAUCAACCAGAAAGUCACGGCUAACUACGUGCCAGCAGCCGCGGUAAUCGUAGGUGGCAAGCGUUGUCCGGAUUUAUUGGGCGUAAAGCGAGCGCAGGCGGAAGAAUAAGUCUGAUGUGAAAGCCCUCGGCUUAACCGAGGAAUUGCAUCGGAAACUGUUUUUCUUGAGUGCAGAAGAGGAGAGCAGAACUCCAUG